AUUCAUCCGAUGAAUCCCAAAUAGGAUGAAACACGAGUCCUGGAU
This 45-nucleotide non-coding RNA is filed under the name Schistosoma mattheei. The record is from RNAcentral. Lineage: Eukaryota; Metazoa; Platyhelminthes; Trematoda; Strigeidida; Schistosomatidae.